AUGAGGCUCCCUGCUCAACUCCUGGGGCUGUUAAUGCUCUGGGUCCCUAGAUCCAGUGAGAACAUUGGGAUGACCCAGAUUCCACUCUCCCUGCCUGUCACCCUUGGAGAGCCGGCCUCCAUCUCCUGCAGGUCUAGUCAGAGCCUCAUGGAUAGUGAUCAUGGAUUCACCUAUUUGUAUUGGUACCUGCAGAAGCCAGGCCAGUCUCCACAGCUCCUGAUCUAUUUUGUUUCCUACCGGGCCUCUGGAGUCCCAGACAGGUUCAGUGGCAGUGGGUCAGGCACUGAUUUCACACUGGAAAUCAGCAGGGUGGAGGCUGAGGAUGUUGGGUUUUAUUACUGCAUGCAAAGUAGAGAGCUUCCUCCCACAGUGGUAUAGCCCUGAACAGAAAUCUCUCUGCUGGGGUGUCCCAGCUGCUCACAUGCCCUGCUUGUCUUGGGAGCAGCUCAGCAGUGUCUCUGAGACUGCAGAAGAGGAGGCUGUUGGAGGAAUCAGGUCAGAGUAUGCUUCUGAAGACUCUGUCUGGGACGACAGGUGCAUGUCACUAAGCAUGGCUAAUUUUUAUAUUUUUCAUAGCAUUGGUACUUCACCAUGUUGCACAGCCUGUUGUCAACCCCAUGGGCUCAAGCCACUCACCUGACAUGGCCUCCCAACAUGCUGAGUGUAUAGGUGUGAAACAGUAUGCCAGGUCAGCACCCCUGUUUAUGUUCCUGUCACCUCACACAGCCUUCACUCUCAUAAGCAACAGGAAAAUGAGGAUGUUCAAGGACUCUGUGAGUAAAAAAUUGGGACAAAAGGAAAAGGAGAAUGGAAUCCUCCUUCCUUGCCUACAUUUGUUGAAAUUUAUUGAGCAAAACAGCCAGACAAUUGAUCAUUUCUGGCAUAACAUGUUGAAUACAUCUUAGGGCUUAGCAAUUUUUGGUAAAUUUUAAAGAAAAUAUUUGGUUAUAUGUAAAAUUGGUAUUUUCCCACUUUUUAAAUUCCUGUUGUUCUAUUUCCCAUUCUUCUCCACUCCAUGAGACAGUAGAGACAGGAUUCUCCACUAGUUCUCCUCAGGGGGAGCUGACUGAGGACAAUCAGUAACAUCUUGUUCUUGAGUGUCAAAUAGAUUUUGUAAUUUCAUAGCAGACACAAGAUAUUAAUACUAAAACUCUUUGAUUACAAUUGAAUCUUGCUGAUGUAAAUAGGGAGUUCUUGAAAUUUGGAAAGUUGGUAUUAAAAAUAAACUGCAGGCAUUACAAGAUGACCGAAUAGCAACAGCUCCAGUCUACAGCUCCCAGCAUGAUCAACACAGAAGAUGGGUGAUUUCUGCAUUUCCAACUAAAGUACAUGGUUCAUCUCAAGGGGACUGGUUGGACAGUGGAUGCAGCCCACAGAGGGCGAGCUGAAGCAGAUC
Nomascus leucogenys (northern white-cheeked gibbon) is the source of this 1396-nucleotide non-coding RNA. Lineage: Eukaryota; Metazoa; Chordata; Mammalia; Primates; Hylobatidae. The record is from the annotation of a RefSeq genome assembly.